AGGAGCAUAGCUCAAGGAGUAGAGUACUUGCCUAGCAAACAAGAAGCUCUGGGCUCAAUCCUCAGUACUGCAA
Molecule: transfer RNA, 73 nt
Filed under: Dipodomys ordii (Ord's kangaroo rat)
Lineage: Eukaryota; Metazoa; Chordata; Mammalia; Rodentia; Heteromyidae
Rfam family: tRNA
About the family: Transfer RNA (tRNA) molecules are approximately 80 nucleotides in length. Their secondary structure includes four short double-helical elements and three loops (D, anti-codon, and T loops).
Source: Rfam by way of RNAcentral